ACAUGCAGUCGAGCGGAACGAGUUAUCUGAACCUUCGGGGAACGAUAACGGCGUCGAGCGGCGGACGGGUGAGUAAUGCCUAGGAAAUUGCCCUGAUGUGGGGGAUAACCAUUGGAAACGAUGGCUAAUACCGCAUGAUGCCUACGGGCCAAAGAGGGGGACCUUCGGGCCUCUCGCGUCAGGAUAUGCCUAGGUGGGAUUAGCUAGUUGGUGAGGUAAGGGCUCACCAAGGCGACGAUCCCUAGCUGGUCUGAGAGGAUGAUCAGCCACACUGGAACUGAGACACGGUCCAGACUCCUACGGGAGGCAGCAGUGGGGAAUAUUGCACAAUGGGCGCAAGCCUGAUGCAGCCAUGCCGCGUGUAUGAAGAAGGCCUUCGGGUUGUAAAGUACUUUCAGUCGUGAGGAAGGCGGCGUCGUUAAUAGCGGCGUUGUUUGACGUUAGCGACAGAAGAAGCACCGGCUAACUCCGUGCCAGCAGCCGCGGUAAUACGGAGGGUGCGAGCGUUAAU
This 511-nucleotide ribosomal RNA is filed under the name Vibrio sp. BTTR39. RNAcentral's name for it is "bacterial SSU rRNA". It matches the Rfam family "Bacterial small subunit ribosomal RNA", at positions 53 to 543 of the family's 1533-position model. The record is from RNAcentral. Lineage: Bacteria; Pseudomonadati; Pseudomonadota; Gammaproteobacteria; Vibrionales; Vibrionaceae.